RNAcentral lists this ribosomal RNA (267 nucleotides) under uncultured bacterium. RNAcentral describes it as "partial 16S ribosomal RNA". It matches the Rfam family "Bacterial small subunit ribosomal RNA", at positions 524 to 788 of the family's 1533-position model. The record is from RNAcentral.
UACAGAGGGUGCAAGCGUUGUUCGGAAUCAUUGGGCGUAAAGGGCGCGUAGGCGGUUUUGUAAGUCGAAUGUGAAAGCCCAGGGCUCAACCUUGGAAGUGCAUCCGAAACUGCGAAACUUGAAUCCUGGAGAGGGUGGUAGAAUUCCCAGUGUAGAGGUGAAAUUCGUAGAUAUUGGGAGGAAUACCGGUGGCGAAGGCGACCGCCUGGACAGAAGAUUGACGCUGAGGCGCGAGAGCGUGGGGAGCAAACGAGGAUUAGAUGACCC